This 480-nucleotide ribosomal RNA is filed under the name uncultured Acidobacteriota bacterium. RNAcentral describes it as "bacterial SSU rRNA". It matches the Rfam family "Bacterial small subunit ribosomal RNA", at positions 13 to 525 of the family's 1533-position model. The record is from RNAcentral. Lineage: Bacteria; Pseudomonadati; Acidobacteriota.
UUGAUCCUGGCUCAGAAUCAACGCUGGCGGCGUGCCUAACACAUGCAAGUCGAACGAGAAAGUGGAGCAAUCCAUGAGUAAAGUGGCGACCGGGUGAGUUACACGUGACUAACCUACCCUCGAGUGGGGAAUAACCUCGGGAAACCGAGUCUAAUACCGCAUAAUAUCGCAAGAUCAAAGCAGAAAUGCGCUUGAGGGGUGGGUCGCGGCUGAUUAGCUAGUUGGUAGGGUAAUGGCCUACCAAGGCUUUGAUCGGUAGCCGGCCUGAGAGGGCGCACGGCCACACUGGAACUGAAACAUGGUCCAGACUCCUACGGGAGGCAGCAGUGGGGAAUUUUGCGCAAUGGGGUAAACCCUGACGCAGCAACGCCGCGUGGAGGAUGAAGUCCCUUGGGACGUUAACUCCUUUCGAUCGGGAAGAUACUGACGGUACCGGAAGAAGAAGCACCUGCUAACUCUGUGCCAGCAGCCGCGGUAAUU